This 492-nucleotide ribosomal RNA is filed under the name uncultured bacterium. Its description in RNAcentral is "partial 16S ribosomal RNA". It matches the Rfam family "Bacterial small subunit ribosomal RNA", at positions 29 to 507 of the family's 1533-position model. The record is from RNAcentral.
AGUGAACGCUGGCGGUAGGCCUAACACAUGCAAGUCGAACGGCAGCACAGUAAGAGCUUGCUCUUACGGGUGGCGAGUGGCGGACGGGUGAGGAAUACAUCGGAAUCUACUUUUUCGUGGGGGAUAACGUAGGGAAACUUACGCUAAUACCGCAUACGACCUACGGGGGAAAGCAGGGGAUCUUCUGACCUUGCGCGAUUGAAUGAGCCGAUGUCGGAUUAGCUAGUUGGCGGGGUAAAGGCCAACCAAGGCGGCGAUCCGUAGCUGGUCUGAGAGGAUGGUCAGCCGCACUGGAACUGGACCACGCUCCAGGCUCCUACGAGAGGGAGCAGUGGGGAAUAUUGGGCAAUGGGCGCAAACCUGAUACAGCCAGACCAAGUGGGUGGAGAAGGCCUUCGGGUUGUAAAGACCUUUUGUUGGGAAAGAAAAGCAGCAGGUUAAUACCCCGCUGUUCUGACGGUAACCAAAGAAUAAGCACCGGCUAACUUCGUG